Molecule: ribosomal RNA, 919 nt
Filed under: uncultured archaeon
Lineage: Archaea
Description: bacterial SSU rRNA
Rfam family: Archaeal small subunit ribosomal RNA
Source: RNAcentral
UUCCGGUUGAUCCUGCCGGAAGCCAUUGCUCUUGGGGCCCGAUUUAGCCAUGCUAGUCGCACGGGUUCAGACCCGUGGCAAAUAGCUCAGUAGCACGUGGCCAAUCUACCCUCUGGAACGGCAUACCCUCGGGAAACUGAGGUUAAUUCCGUACACCGCUCUCAACCUGGAAUGGUGGGAGCUCGAAACGCUCCGGCGCCGGAGGAUGAGGCUGCGGCCGAUUAGGUUGACGGUGGGGUAAUGGCCCACCGUGCCGAUAAUCGGUCUGGGUCAUGAGAGUGAGAACCCAGAGACGGACUCUGAGACAAGAUUCCGGGCCCUACGGGGCGCAGCAGGCGCGAAACCUUUACACUGCACGCCAGUGCGAUAAGGGGACCCCAAGUGCGCAGGCAUAGUGCCUGCGCUUUUCUGGAYUGUAGGGCGGUCCAGGAACAAGGGCUGGGCAAGACCGGUGCCAGCCGCCGCGGUAAUACCGGCAACCCAAGUGAUGGCCGCUGUUAUUGGGCCUAAAGCGUCCGUAGCUGGCCGCACGAGUCCGUCGGGAAAUCCGCCCGCUCAACGGGCGGCCGUCCGGCGGAACCUGUGUGGCUUGGGACCGGGAGGCCUGAGGGGUACGAUCGGGGUAGGAGUGAAAUCCUGUAAUCCCGCUCGGACCGCCGAUGGGGAAACCACCUCAGGAGAACGGAUCCGACAGUGAGGGACGAAAGCCAGGGUCUCGAACCGGAUUAGAUACCCGGGUAGUCCUGGCCGUAAACGAUGCUUGUUAGGUGUGACUCCCACUACGAGUGGGUGUUGUGCCGUAGGGAAGCCGCUAAACAAGCCGCCUGGGAAGUACGUCUGCAAGGAUGAAACUUAAAGGAAUUGGCGGGGGAGCACUACAACCGGAGGAGCCUGCGGUUUAAUUGGAUUCAACGCCGGG